This is a long non-coding RNA of Helianthus annuus (common sunflower), 2487 nucleotides long. RefSeq lists it as uncharacterized. NCBI's taxonomy places the organism in Eukaryota, Viridiplantae, Streptophyta, Magnoliopsida, Asterales, Asteraceae. The transcript has 5 exons. The record is from RefSeq and is a predicted model, not a curated record.
GCAGUUUCUUGUGGUGGUUUUAUCAACUGGUGGUUACCUCUACCUCUUCCUGCCCAUGCCUCUUCCUGCCCAUGUUCUCCACUCCCCGCAUCCACGUUUUCCCAUCCCCUCAAUUUCCUUAAAAACCAACUAAAUAGCAGAGAUGCUCAAUUUUCCUUCCUACUAUAGCUAUACUUCGUCUAUUGUCUCCCCACCAUUAACCAUCUUCCACCACAACUCCAUUAUUAUUGUAUUGUUUGUUAUCAUAUGGGAUUCUGCCCAAUUCUUCUUUUAAUGUUUAAGAAUAUUAGAUGUUUUCUCAAUUUGUGAUUUUCUGAUUUAAGGAAAACCCCUAGAGUGUUUUUUGAUUCGAUUUGAUUUUGACGGAUGAUGAUUGUUCAGGGACAUCAAUUGGCACAAGUAAUGGUGUCGGAAUUGCAGCCACAGAUAGUAGCUCUGGCAAUAACCAGUUUUCGGCGGAUUUGAAGAUUAUAUGAUUCAUGUGGGCAUGUUGCUUGAAGAAAUCGAAGAAGGAGAGAGGCUGUAUGGCUAAAGAAGGCAUUAAUAAAUGCCUCCGUGUGUUGCCGGAAAACACAAUUCUAUCCACCAUGACCUUACUAGGCUGCAGCUUGAGUUGGUUUUUACGCACAGAAGGCUGUUGGUAUACUUCCAAGCCACCCUCUGCAUAUUGGUUAGGGUUUGGUUGGAGGUGCAUAUGGUGCUUUGGGUGCAGGCUAUGGAGUUCCAGGAUAUUUAUUCACAUGUGCUCUUUUCUAUCAAUUUACGUUAAGAAGUGGGACCUAGGACAGCGGGCAUGGUUUUGAGGCGAAUGCUUUUGUGGAUGGAAGGAUCGGAUAUGUUCCGUAACAACCAGGUGUACCGCCACACACCCCCACCCCAACCGCAACAUCAAAGAGGGGGUGGUGGUGGUGGUGGUAUGAAGUGGUCCAAGUGGGGGUCGCAGAUGUUAUAUUAGUGGUGUACCGUUUGCUGAGUAAAAGAGGUGGUAUACUGAUCACCUCUCAUAAAGUAUUAAAUUACCCCCCGACUGGUUUGACCGGCUACCCAACCGGCCCAUUUUCGACCCAAGCUACAAUUUCAAUGGUUUCUGAUAUUGUGCAGUGAGAUAAGGAGAGCUCAAGAUAAGAUAUAGGAAUGUAUAUGUGAAUUAUCCACAACAUAGUGAACUUUUGAGAUUAAAUGAUGUCAACCAGGGGUGAAGGGGAUCUUGGGCAAUGUAUCUGUGAUGAAAUCCUAAUUAUCCAACUAUUUCACAAGUCCUCUGCAGCUUACACAUGUAGCAUUACUUGUGUCUUAGGAGCCGUAUUUGGAGGUUAUUAUAUAUUGAUGUAAUCAAAUGUUUUUUUUAUUAGUGUGCAUUGGGUUCAUUUGGUGCUAUAGAACUGUUAUUUUCUAUUGGUUUUUUAAUGUGAAUGUUAAGGGAAUUUGUUUUUGAUGUCUAAUUUGUGUUGUUUUUUUUUUCAGAAGUUCUCACCUGGAUCUAAUGGUAAGAUGACAACAAUGGGCGUAUAUGUUCGGAUCUAGGGAUGAGCAUUUGGGACUUGGUACGGUACCUAAUAUUUUUUCGCUACCGAUUCGGUACCCACUUUUUGGAGUUUUCGGUACCGGUAUUUUUGGUAUGGUACCGGUAAUUUACAUAAUUUUACACAAAAAUAUUGGUACCGUAUCGUACCGAACAUUUUCUGUAUUGGUACCCACAUUUGACAAUUUUCGGUACCGGUACCGGUAGUACCGAGCUCAUCCCUAGCCAACGCGGAUACAACCGACUCAUGGGAUUACCCAAACAAUAAACUUUCCUUUUAUAUAGGUAGCGAAGUUCUAUAAAUGGUUUCGACUCAUCGUUUAUAUGAUCUGUAUUCCAUCUAUCUGAUUUUCAGUUGGUUAACUUAUCUUUGCUUUGUUUUUUUUCCGGGCUGCAUAUAUAGAAUUAAAGGCUUUGUAUGUUGAAAUGACUAAACUUCACGUUUGAUAAUUUCAAUUUCUUUAGUAAGUGUUUGGAUUAGAAGAGAGUCCAAAGUGAAGUGAGCAGAGAAGCCCGGAUAAAGGAAAGUCAAAGGGAUUUUGAAGCCUACUAGGAAUUCUGCUUGUGGCAUUUUCAUGUAAAGGGUCUAAUAAAGGAAGAGACACAUAUUUGGUUGUGCAGCCAGACUCUUCUGGUGAGGUUGGACCCCCUGGAUACCGACUUGAUGAAGUGAGUCCAAUGCACUUGGUAAGAUGGAUAUAGGUAAUGUUGUUAUGAAUCAAUGUAAAUGAUCCAGAUAACUUCAGAAUUAAUGGCGAGGAUUUAGAUGCGGUUCGUUAAAGCCGAAGUUGAAGUUGAUGAUCUUAGAACGGGCCAGGACACGUCUUUACAGAUCACUCACUGAUCAUUUCUUUUUGCAUUUGUUUUGAUUUGGUAUGCUUUUAGGACAUUUAUUUUGGCUGAAAAUGGUUUGAGAUAAUUGAUAAUGUCAUUUUGUUCUAUUGCAAUUUUGUGUGGUUAUAAAA